GCACCGGGCAGCCGGCCUUUCGAGCAUCGCCUCGUCCCUCCAAGGCCGCUUGCACGCUACGGGGCCCGUACCUUUUCGGGCCCAUACAUGUCGUCGCCGUAUUCAUUGAGCAGGCUGUAGGCCUCCUCCACGCACUUGCGCUCGUUCAUGUUGCAGGUAAUGAGAAUGCCCUGUAGCCCGGGUUCCAGCUGCCGGGGCCCGCCGCCGUCGCAGCGCCGAGCCCGCUUGGCCUGCACAUACUGAGCUUUGCCUUUGCGCUUUCCGCCGCUAGACUGAGGAGGCUGCUGGACGGGGGUCGCCAUGGCGCGCGAGCCGAGGCUAGCGAGAAACGUGUUUCUCCUCAGCUCCGGGCUUCCUCACUUCUGCGGGCGCGGGCUGGUUACGUCGUGUGCGCGCCACGGCCUCCCGUAGCCCCGCCCCCAAGCUUCUUUCGGUGCUGCGCCGGGUCCCAGCGCCGGUCGGAGGCAGGCUGUGGAGAAGAAGUAGUCCUACUGCUCACCGGCGCAAGGAUGCUCGGACUUCCUGGGAAAGCCGCUUUCCGCAAGAGCUGCACACACAGGCAUGAGGAGUGGCAGGCAGAGGAAGAGGGAGAAGCCGACUGGGAGCUGGAGGUGGGGCUGGAUCCCACGGUCCUGGGAUCAUGACCUGAGCUGAAGACAGAUGCUUCACUACUUAACCACCACCCAAGGGCCUCUUGGACAUACUUCUUAGCAUUAAAUUGUCACUAUGGGAACAUUUUAAUUUGUAACGUAUUUUUAUAUUCAUACUCAAGAUAUUGUCCCUUUCCAUUUCUUUCCACACUUUUGAUGCUGAUGUCCUAACAAGUGACAUUUUGCUGAAUUAUUGUUUCAGGUGCACUUGGUUUGGAUAGGAAAUCACAUCCUCACUUCUUGAACAAAAUCGUGGAGAGCCAAAAAAGGGUUUGUCCUUUUUGGCUCCAGGAAGAAUCAGCUAAUCCAGUGACCCAAAAAUGUGGAGUGGAUGGUAGUAGAAAGUCAGGAAUAAAAAAAAACCUCUUAGUUAUUGUAAGGCCUGCAUCUCUCAGAUUGACAUUCUUGUGACUCCCAUGACAAAGUCAUGCUGAUAUGAAAUAGUAGUCUAGAAAUCCAUAUACAUAUAAAAGAAUUUUUGCUGAUAGGAAAGGAUUCUUCUUUUCUUCAAUGAAAUAUCCCUUGCUAUUUUCUUCAUGUCUGGCCCCCAAAUGUUUAAGAAUGCAGUCAUUAGAUAGGUAAGCAAUCCCUUCAUAGUUAACAUCAUAAUAUUCCACAUACCCUAAAGUUCAGAAUCCAACUCCUUAUAUAAGUUCAAGUAAUUAAAAGUCAACUUGAACUUUAUGAAUCCCUUGUGUUGGUGUUCCACCUUUGACGGUGUAUUACUUUGGUGAGCAAAUGCAGGAGUGCUGUGCAUUUUAUUGAUGGAGAUAUUUCAAUCUCACAUUUGGAGAUUUAAUUAUUUUUUUUUAAUAAAUUUUUUAUUUAUUUAUGAUAGUCACAGAGAGAGAGAGAGAGGCAGAGACACAGGCAGAGGGAGAAGCAGGCUCCAUGCACCGGGAGCCCGACGUGGGACUCGAUCCCGGGUCUCCAGGAUCGCGCCCUGGGCCAAAGGCAGGCGCUAAACCGCUGCGCCACCCAGGGAUCCCUGGAGAUUUAAUUAUUAUGUAUGAAACAACAAAAUACUAAGAAGAGGAAAAGUAAUUAGCCUGAUGUUGAACUUCAUGGUUAAUUGGGUUUUUUUCUUCACUAUAUGUAUGUGUAAAUACAUAUGUAUGUGUAUGUGUAUAGUUGUAUAUAUAUACAUGUAUGUAUA
This is a long non-coding RNA of Canis lupus familiaris (dog), 1806 nucleotides long. RefSeq lists it as uncharacterized. The record is from RefSeq and is a predicted model, not a curated record. The transcript has 2 exons. NCBI's taxonomy places the organism in Eukaryota, Metazoa, Chordata, Mammalia, Carnivora, Canidae.